GACGAACGCUGGCGGCGUGCUUAGCACAUGCAAGUCGAACGGAAAGGCCCUGCUUUUGUGGGGUGCUCGAGUGGCGAACGGGUGAGUAACACGUGAGUAACCUGCCCUUGACUUUGGGAUAACUUCAGGAAACUGGGGCUAAUACCGGAUAGGAGCUCCUGCCGCAUGGUGGGGGUUGGAAAGUUUCGGCGGUUGGGGAUGGACUCGCGGCUUAUCAGCUUGUUGGUGGGGUAGUGGCUUACCAAGGCUUUGACGGGUAGCCGGCCUGAGAGGGUGACCGGCCACAUUGGGACUGAGAUACGGCCCAGACUCCUACGGGAGGCAGCAGUGGGGAAUAUUGCACAAUGGGCGGAAGCCUGAUGCAGCAACGCCGCGUGCGGGAUGACGGCCUUCGGGUUGUAAACCGCUUUCGCCUGUGACGAAGCGUGAGUGACGGUAAUGGGUAAAGAAGCACCGGCUAACUACGUG
This 468-nucleotide ribosomal RNA is filed under the name uncultured bacterium. Its description in RNAcentral is "partial 16S ribosomal RNA". It matches the Rfam family "Bacterial small subunit ribosomal RNA", at positions 28 to 507 of the family's 1533-position model. The record is from RNAcentral.